AUUGAACGCUGGCGGCAGGCUUAACACAUGCAAGUCGAACGAGUGGCGGACGGGUGAGUAAUGCUUGGGAAUCUAGCUUAUGGAGGGGGAUAACUACGGGAAACUGUAGCUAAUACCGCGUACCAUAGGAUGAGCCCAAGGGGGAUUAGGUAGUUGGUGAGGUAAAGGCUCACCAAGCCGACGAUCUCUAGCUGGUCUGAGAGGAUGACCAGCCACACUGGGACUGAGAAACGGUCCAGACGCCUACGGGAGGCAGAAGGGGGGAAUAUUGCGGAAUGGGGGCAACCUGACGAAGCCAUUCCGCGUAAAUGAAGAAGGCCUUCGGGUUGUAAAGUACUUUCGGUAGCGAGGCGUUAACUACAGAAGAAGCACCGGCUAACUCCGUGCCAGCAGCCGCGGUAAUAC
This 405-nucleotide ribosomal RNA is filed under the name uncultured bacterium. RNAcentral describes it as "partial 16S ribosomal RNA". It matches the Rfam family "Bacterial small subunit ribosomal RNA", at positions 30 to 526 of the family's 1533-position model. The record is from RNAcentral.